Molecule: ribosomal RNA, 564 nt
Filed under: uncultured bacterium
Lineage: Bacteria
Description: partial 16S ribosomal RNA
Rfam family: Bacterial small subunit ribosomal RNA
Source: RNAcentral
UGGGGAAUAUUGGACAAUGGGCGCAAGCCUGAUCCAGCAAUGCCGCGUGUGUGAAGAAGGCCUUCGGGUUGUAAAGCACUUUUAUCAGGAGCGAAACGCUGUCGGCUAAUACCCGGCGGAACUGACGGUACCUGAGGAAUAAGCACCGGCUAACUUCGUGCCAGCAGCCGCGGUAAUACGAAGGGUGCAAGCGUUAAUCGGAAUUACUGGGCGUAAAGCGUGCGUAGGCGGUUUCUUAAGUCUGCUGUGAAAUCCCCGGGCUCAACCUGGGAAUAAGGCAGUGGAUACUGGGAGGCUAGAGUGUGUCAGAGGGUGGUGGAAUUCCCGGUGUAGCGGUGAAAUGCGUAGAGAUCGGGAGGAACAUCAGUGGCGAAGGCGGCCACCUGGGACAACACUGACGCUGAGGCACGAAAGCGUGGGGAGCAAACAGGAUUAGAUACCCUGGUAGUCCACGCCCUAAAGCGAUGCGAACUGGAUGUUGGUCUCAACUCGGAGAUCAGUGUCGAAGCUAACGCGUUAAGUUCGCCGCCUGGGGAGUACGGUCGCAAGACUGAAACUCAAAGG